UUUGCCUCCUAAUGGAAAGUGAUUCUUUAUAGGAGUUCCCAUUGUGGCACAGAGGGAAUGAAUCCAGCUAGUAUCCAUGAGGAUGAGGGUUCAGUCACUGGCCUCAUUCAGUGGGUUAAGGAUCUGGCGUUGCUGUGAGCUGUGGUGUAGGUCACAGACGGGGCUUGGAUCCCUUGUUGCUGCAGCUGUAGUGUAGGCCAGCAGCUGUAGCUCUGAUUCAACCCCUAGCCUGGAAACUUCCAUAUGCCGAGGGGGCGGCCCUAAAAAACAAAAACAAACAAACAAAAAACAGCCUUUAUGGAAAAUCUAUGCCAUGCCAGGAAGAGUGCCUGGCACUACAGAUAAAUUUUUUUUAACAUUUUAAAUAUAAGCUUUAUUUUAAAUUUAAAGAAAUGUUGAAAAUAAACAUUUUUAUAAAUUCUGUCCAACGCGUAAAACAUAAUUUGGGAAUGUAAAACAUUCGUUCUUAAUUCGAAAUGACGACAUUCAUAGAAUACAUCCUGGUGUCGACCAAGAUGAAAUUUACUUAAAUCUAAUAUUUUUCAUAAGCUUAACCUUUCAUCCUUCCUAAAACUCAGUGAUUACGACUCAGCGUCAUAAGGUCGAGCAAGUCUUUGACGUAAGACCCCAGAUAACUUUCUCAAACACGAAACAUUUAUACCAGCAAGGAAGUUAUUAAAAUGUAUGUAAGUUAUACUGAAGGGCUUAAUUCCGUGGCUGUCUGUGUAAAGAUAGAUGCAUUUUACCUUAGAAAGCAGGCACUCACACAAAAACAAUCGGAGGUAGAUGCUAUUACAUUCUUUCAGGGUUAUGUUACGUAGCAAACUGCAAGUUUAUAAAUGUCAUCCCAUUAUGUAUGAGCUGAAAAAAAUGUAUAUUAAAAACACGUCCUUGAAGACACAGGAGAGUGGGAUGUGCCCAUGUGAAGUGACUCAAAAGCCCUUAAAGAACCUGCAGCUCAGAUGGUGAGACACUAACUGUUUAGGCAAAUAAAUAUGAUUUUUGGACAGAGAGAAAAGCUAGAAAGAUAAUGCGCCAGAUUGUAGGUUGGAGGGUCAUCUGAGAGCUCUCUGAGAAGGUGACCUUUAGAUGAGCCCCAGAAAGUGAGAAUAAACUGUCCAGGUGAAGACCAAGUUAGGACCCUACUGGUCAGUGGCAAGAACAAGUGCACAGACCCUGCUGUGCUCCCCUAGGGGGACGGAGCCGGCCAUUCCAGGGCUGGAGAGCGAGGUGGACAGAGUCGGGGAGGGGGAGAGGCCCCUGGGGACAGGGGUGUCGGGCUUGAACCGCAGUGACACAGAGUGAGGAGUGCCUUCUGACUGAAAGAAUUGAGGCAGCCGAGGGCAGCCGUGCCCCUUGCUUGGCCUGGGUUGGCAUGAAGGGCACCUCAGUCAGGCUGAGGCAGGCCACUUCCCACGAGGACUAAAGCAGCUGGCUUCCCAGGGACGCCAAGCGCACAAGCACAGGUGCCCUUUGGGUGGCUUCCUCAGCAUCUUAAGACAGCUUGCAGCGAUGAUUUUGCCUUGGAUUUGCAGAAUAAACAAAGGCUUUGUCGAGCCUCUGGUUUGAGGUAAUAAGUCACUAAAGCUGUGUUUGCACACUCCUCAACCACCGUGCAGCGUGGAUUCCCUCUGCAGCUUCACCCCACUUUUCGUUUGCUGGUUUGCUUCAAACAUGUCAUGUUUUCACAUAACAAAACACGCAUACACACUUCAUCCCAUUUAAUAUUUAAUUCAAACACAAUGCUUACCAUUCAAAUAAAAUGUUUACAUGUAUGAAUUUUUAUAUCCCCUUAGGAGAGUAUUUUGGAAGAUAUGUGAAUCCCUGAUAGUACACGGUGGCAUUUCAAAUGGUACACAGAUAAACUUCUUAACAAUUUAAUUGUAAUGUGUUUAUUUUAAUGUGUAGUUUUCAUAUAAAAUGAGGGCCAAAUCAAACCAGCAAUUUGGUAGCUAUUAUUGCUAGAUUUUUACUGUCAGUUAUGAUCUAAAAUUUACUGUUCAGAUGCAUUUAUUUAAGAAGUGAGUUUAUUUAAAGAAAGCAUAAUGGUACAAGAGGUACUCGUAUAACGUGCAACGGCAACACUGAAGAAGGAAGUGCAGAAGGGCUGAGGUUUGCAAGACCCCGUCCCCUGGAAGAAAUCGUGUCAUAUUCUGGCAUUUCUCUUAAGUUUGUCUCCCUCCCAGUUUUUUAUCUGAUGUCACAUUGAGAGCAAAGCCACAGACUCAAGUUGUUUUGCUCAAAAGGUGGUUUAAAUCAUUUUUUAAAAUUUGCCUACUAUUGAAAUUCCUGUCGUGGCUCAGCAGAAAUGAACCUGACUGGUAACCAUGAGGACACAGGUUCCAUCCCUGGCUUCGCUCAGUGGGUUUUGGAUCUGGCAUUGCUGUGAGCUGUGGUGUAGGUCACAAAUUCAACUUGGAUCCCGCAUUGCUGUGGCUCUGGUAUAGGCUGGCAGCUGCAGCUCUGAUUUGACCCCUAGCCUGGGAACCUCCACGUGCCAUGGGUGUGGCCCUAAAAAAAAGUGUCUACUAUGUAAAUCAUCCUUAUUCUCAUUUUUCUCAUUAUUUUUGAAAUAUGAUUAUAUUUUAAGUGCAGAGCUAUCACAUUCAUUGGAUGAUCCAUCCAUUCCCUUAACUUGAAUUUCUGAAAAAGCAAACAUUGCAAUCCCCUUUCCAGGAGGAGUUGAGACACCGUUGAUGUAAACACAAGUUUUCCACGUAGUGUGGAUAAAGCACUUCAUUAUAGCAUAGCUGGUGUUCAGAGAGUGUGCUAAAAAAAAAAGGGUGCCUCUGUUUGUUCACCAGGGGAAGGCCUUUUGACGUCAAUUCUAACUCUACAUAGAGAGGCCUUAGUAGAAUUGGAAUCCAACCUAGUUACCAUUCUGUGUUAUCACAUCCAUUUUGUUGAUAUGUAGACUGAGUCAAAUAAGCAUCCACUGAAAUUUCAGCUGGAAUUCAAAACCAGGACGCACUCACUACCUUAGCUCUAGUUCCCAGAUGGCAUUUCAUCCAUCAGCAUGAAUCUUUUUGUAUUAGUUGUGGGUUCUGAUCUGUCUGACAAAGAAAGUGUGUGGGUUGCUAGUCUGUUUUUCCCUCAAGACAGCCUAACAAACAAGCCAUCACCUGGGGGAUAAACAUUAGCCAUGGGAAAAAGGAAAUUCUAUUCCCUUGUAGGAUGCUGACUGUCACAUGCUGUGUCAUUAGUUGCUUCUGAAAGACUUUUUGAAAACACUUCUCUCCCAGUUGUAAUUUGUAUAUUGCCGUAUUUUUAAAAAAUAAUCAUUUUAAAUUCCUAAGUAAAAAAAUAAAAUGCUGCAUGAGAACAGAGUGGGAAAAGGAUUUGAGAAGCAGGGGUAAAAAUGACAUUCCGGGAGGAUGAAACUGAUGAUAAAGUAUCUUAGUCAUAUCAGUUUCAUUUUGGACAUUCUGCUAGCAAGCAUGCACUGCGUGCCCUUGCAGCAUAGACCAGGGCUUUGGCAAACUUUUUCUGUAAAGAGCUAGGUAGCAUAUAUUUUGGGGCUUUGCUGGUCAUAUGGUCUUUGUAGCAACUAAUUAGCUGGAAAGCAGCUAUAGAUUGUGUAAACAAAUGACUGUGGCUGUUUUUCAAUAAAACUUUAUUUACAAAACAAGCUGUGGGCCAUAGUUGGCCCGCCCCCUAAAAUUCAGUAGAAGAGUUUAACCUGUAGAAUUAUGCAAACCUGGGCCACAUCCUGGCUCUGAUGCUAACAACCUAUGGGAAACUGGUCAUCUUAAUGCACCUCUCAGGUCAUCAGUUUCUACUUUUGUAAAAUGGAAAUAACUGUAGACCCCCCUCCAAUGAGUUAUUGAGAAAAUCCACUGAGUAAUGCUCAAAGGGACCAGCACAGACCUGACGCAGUAGGUUCUCAUCCAAUGUCAGGUGUUAUUGUUUGCUGUGUUGCUGUGGUUCUUGGGUUAAAAAGUGCCCUUUACUCCCCGCCUCCCAUGCAUUAGCCUCAGAGAGGUAAGAGUUACCUUAACACGGAAGUCGCCUCAAGGCUGUCUUCUGUUUAAAGCCUUUCCGUGCUUUCUCAUGCCCUUCAUCAUGCCCCGAUCCAGCCCGUACUCACUCCAACAUGGUGCCCUCGGCUCUCCUCAUUCCCCCUGGGUGGGCUCCAGCCACGCUGAGGCAGCAUCUGGAGCUCUUGUAUACCUCAGGACAUUUACAUGUGCUUUUUCCUCCUUUCGGGAACGCUGGGCCCCUCACUUUUCUCAAGACUCGUUUCUUCCUUUUGUUAUUUGCUUGUCUGUUACUUCCUCAGUGAAGGCUUCGUUCUUCUCCUGCCAAUAACUACGUCCUUCAUAACUCAGCAAAAUUAGUCAGGGACAGACCAUACCUAUCUUAUUCACAAUCGAAAUCACCGUGCUUCGUACAGUGUUCUGACACAUAUGGACAUGGAAAAAUUACAUAAUAAACACAGAAUUAGUGUGUCAGUGACGAAUUAUUAUUUAUUAUAACCAUCAUCACCGUCAUGAAUGGGACUGAAAGCAUAGGACCUAGUACAGAGCUCAUCAGUCUUCAACCAUCUUCAACCUCCUUCAUGACUUCUAUCAUAUUUAUGGACUGCUUGAAUGUACACAUUUUUUACUCCUUUUCUUAUUGCUUACUUCCUGCUAUUUCUAAGCCAGGGAUUAACCAACUAUAGCCCUCAGGCCAAGUUUGACCCUCCACCUGCUUUUGUAAAUAAAGUGUGUUUGGAACACGGCCAUGCCCAUUCCCAUCCGUUACUGGAUUGACCAAGGAUGCUUUCACAUUACAAGGACAGAGUUGAGAAGCUGAGUAGCAACUGGCUGGCUCACAAAUCUAAAAAUAUUUAUUAUUUGAUCCCUUACAGAAAACAUUUGCUGACGCCUGUACUAAGCAGUAAAAGUCACUAAAUACUAUGUUUAACACGCUAGUUAUGUUUGUAUUUCCACUCUCAUUAAAAACGAUCUCAUAGCUAUUAAGAUUAUUUAAAUAUUUGCUCAAGGACCCCCUAAAGUGUUUUUGUGAUGGUCCUUGAACCACAUCUACUAACUCUGCACCUGGUCAAAAGUCCCCCAUGUGGGUUCCAUAUGUGGUGCAGAUCAGCACAUUUAUCCCCCCGAGGAGAUCCUUUUAGUGCAAUUCCUAAAUUUACGCAAGGGUAAAUUCAUGGGCUUUUUCCCCACAGAUGCCAUGCCUCUGCCAGGCAUCCUCUUGCUAACUUUGCCCACGAGUUGGCUGAGAGCUUGACAUGAACAUCUGCGUCAUGGAUGUCAUUAUAACAGGCGUCAAAAGUGCCACUGCUCUCCUGGCACACCUAGACUCUUGACAAGAUAGAUGAAACCUACAGCUCUCUGUAGCUGACUCCCAGAAUUCAGGGCUGCCAGCUUUGGCUCAUGUUAUGAAUAGCCGGUGGCUGUUCUGUUAGAUAUCCCUUUGUCAGGAAGAUUCUGCCUUCCAGAAUUUUCCCUAGAUUUACAUAUGGCAUUAUGAAAUCUCUUGUAGAGAAUGCAAAGGGAUUUGCAGACGUCUUUUUAUUUUUGUUUUUCAGUGACCUCCAAGUGAAGGGGAUCAGCUGGGCGUCUUCCAGUUGCAGGAAACAGAAAAUGCAUCCCCAAAUGGCUUAAGUAAUUUGACAGUUUGACUGGCUUGCAUGAGUCAAAAGUCUGGGGUAUAACCGACUUCGGGCAUUGCUAGUUCAAGGCCUCAAGUUAUAUCACAAAGGCUUGGUUCUUCCUGUAUGUUUCUGUGGUUCAUCUCAGCAAUGUUGGCUCCAUUCUGGGGCAGUCUCUUUCCUCAUGGUGACUAGAUGGCCGCCAGCAGCCCCUCCUUCAUGUCCUCCCAUGAGUAAGUCUAGAUUCAAGGAUCUGGCCUCCUUAGAAAUUCCAGUCACUGUCAUAUGGCAUCUGGUUGACUGUGCCGGUGUCAGCCCCAAUCAACCACUUUUGCCAGCUUAGUGAGAUGGUCUGAUACGUGAAGUCUAGGCCAUGCCAUCCCUGGAGAUGGGGGAGAGGGGAGCUAGUCAGCUCCUCCAGAAUUCUGUGGGCUCUGAGUGGGGAUCCUGAGACCAGGUCAGAAGCUGUUAUCAGAUUCAGAGUGAGUGGAUGACAGGGCAAAAUAGCAACAGUCAGCUUCCACAGAGAAGAAGCUAGCUCCAAUCCAAGGCUGAUUUUCCACAGCUUCUGCUUCAGGGUGUCUCAGCCUUGGUGCUGUUGACAUUUGAGGCCGGGUAACCCUUUCUUGUGAGUCUCAUUUGUGCAGUGUUAAAAUCUUUAGCAACAUCCUUGCCUCUACCUGCUGGAUAUCAAUGUGUUUCCAUCCCCCCCCCACCCCCACCUCAAAUAUGACAACUAGAAAUGUCCCCUGGGAGCAAAAAUCACCCCAGGUUGAGAACCACUGUGUGUUGGUCGCAGUGGGAGGGUGAUGAGCCAAGGGUGAUGACUUCAUCAUUCACCAGGGAAAGGUUUUGAAAAGGAGAAAGCAGUUCCUAGAAAGGGCUGUGAAAACUGACGCCCUUUUGGCGGAGCGUUCAAGGUCUUCCUCUCCUUGCGCCUUCUCCGAGCCAGCCUGGGAAAGUCCUUCAGGACCUCAGUGGUCCACCAAAACCUCUUCACAAAAGCAAAAUCAGGAGUGUGUUCUGCUUUAAGUAUCUUGGAGUCAGGAAGUUCCAGGUUUGAAUCCCAGUUUGGGCGCAUUCUUGGUCUGUGCCCUUUGGCAAGUUCCUUAACAUCUCAGAGUCUGUGGGGUUUUCUCCCCAACGUAAAACCAAGACAGUGUGGGAGCUAAUGGGAGAUUUCAAAAGCGAUGGGUGCUAACUAACCAGGAGGCAGGCCUGAGAAGGCCACUCAGAAGACCAGAGCUUUAGUUCUCGGUGUUGUCGCGAUUAUGCGGAUCAUCAACAUUAUCCAAGCCAGGUGUUCUUAACCUUGACCCUAUGAUGCUUGGGGCCGUGUGAUUCUCAGUUGUGGGGGCUGUCCUGUGCAGUGGAUGGCGGGUAGUGACAGUCCCAGCUUCAACACCCCGCACACU
RNAcentral lists this long non-coding RNA (7011 nucleotides) under Sus scrofa (pig). RNAcentral's name for it is "lncRNA (ENSSSCG00050061973.1)". The record is from RNAcentral. Lineage: Eukaryota; Metazoa; Chordata; Mammalia; Artiodactyla; Suidae.